UGAGCGGGAAAAGCUCAAAUUUAAAAUCUGGCGUCCUCCGGGCGUCCGAGUUGUAAUCUGGAGAAGCGUUUUCCGCGUCGGACCGUGUACAAGUCUUCUGGAACGGAGCGUCAUAGAGGGUGAGAAUCCCGUCUCUGACACGGACUACCGAUGCUUUUGUGAUGCGCUCUCGAAGAGUCGAGUUGUUUGGGAAUGCAGCUCAAAAUGGGUGGUAAAUUCCAUCUAAAGCUAAAUAUUGGCCAGAGACCGAUAGCGAACAAGUACCGUGAGGGAAAGAUGAAAAGCACUUUGGAAAGAGAGUUAAACAGUACGUGAAAUUGUUGAAAGGGAAACGCUUGAAGUCAGUCGCGUUGGCCGAGACUCAGCCUGGCUUGCCUGGUGUACUUCUCGGUUGACGGGUCAGCAUCAGUUUUGACCGCCGGAUAAAGGUUGGAGGAAUGUGGCAUCCCUCGGGAUGUGUUAUAGCCUCUGAUUCGCAUACGGCGAUUGGGACUGAGGAACUCAGCACGCCUUUAUGGUCGGGGUUCGCCCACGUAACGUGCUUAGGAUGCUGGUA
RNAcentral lists this ribosomal RNA (556 nucleotides) under Athelia sp. RNAcentral describes it as "partial large subunit ribosomal RNA". It matches the Rfam family "Eukaryotic large subunit ribosomal RNA", at positions 95 to 631 of the family's 3401-position model. Lineage: Eukaryota; Fungi; Basidiomycota; Agaricomycetes; Atheliales; Atheliaceae. The record is from RNAcentral.